AAAACAUUAGCUACUAAAUAUAUCUAGUCUACUUAAAGAACCAGUCAACCUCCAUAACUAAACCAAUCUUCCCCUAUAUCCAUAAAUAAAUAUCUAGUAUAUACACCGACAUUAGAUUUGUCUAAUGUAUGUAUGUACAAAAUGCACCCCCAGGCUUGGUCAUCAUCAAGAAAACAAAAGACUUGCAGCAGUCUCAACUCAAAAACAAUUGCAACAAAGUCCGGCUGCAUUACCAUAGCCGCCUACAUCUUGUGGUGUAAAAUGUAAAAAUUUACAUCAAUUAUUGUCCCGACGAUUCUUGUAGCCUUGUGCAAGACAACAUCCCUAUGGAUUCCAGGGCCUCAAGAAUGGUUUGCCCAUCGAAUCAUGGUACCCUGGAUUCUGAGUAGACAUGCUCGUCCAUCCAAGACCAUUGGGUUUAAGGCCGCUAGGACUUUCCUGGCUACUCGUGUAACUAAGGGAAACAGCUUGCUGCUGUGAGGCAUUGCUCGUUGUGGGAACUCCCACGCCCAUCUCACCAUAGUUCCUUGAAGGGAUCAACCGUUCUCUUGAACCUGAUACAUUAUAAGAGCCACUUUGAUGCAGUGCGUUGCACUCAGAUAAAACACUGUACAAGCUCUGAUCUGAGUUGUUUACGCUUCCAAUGCUCUGAGAUGGACCACCAACACCUCCUAAAGUACACCAGCUCCCACGGGCAUGAUUCUCUCCAGAGAACCAAUUCUGAUUUAACAAGUCUCCACUGCUUAGAUGAGUUUGAGGCGGUGUCGACACAUGAACAGAAUUGACGGCCCAAUCUUGAAUGCCAACAUUCAACUGUUCAUGCCUAGGGAAAGAAUAUCGACUUCCAUCUGUGUACAGAUUCCCCUGAAAGUUCUGAUGCAUGAGGAGAUCAUUCAGCCCCUUGUGUCGUAGCUCAAUUGGUAACUGCACAUGAAGCUGCUCCCUAAAAUGACCAGAAUAUUGACUUUGCUGCACCAUCAGAUUGGUUGCUGGUUGGAAGUCCAGAGGAGACUGUCUCUGCUCACGGUUGUAAGAUGAACUAUCUGGAUCCUUGAAAAAUGGGUGGAAUAUUUCGUUCCUGUUCUGAGGGUAUGAACCAAAAAGAGAAAUGGCACUGGGUUCUCUGGACAACAUAUCCCUCCCAGCAUCCUUUCCUGUUGGGACAGCUUCCAGAUUAAUAAGACUAGCGACUCUCUCCUCAGUCACUCGAGGAUGCCCUAGUGACAACUCCUCGGCAGAAGAAUAUUCAUGACUUAUGGGAGUGGCACACCCAUAAGAGGCAGCUAUGCUAAUUGCUGGCCAACCAUCACUGGUAGAAGCAAGAGAAACCCCUUGAUCAACAGGAACAUCUACACUAUUCAACCCUUCUGGAUACUCUGAUACAGUUGGGGAAACUUCAUCUGCCUGCUGGAUUAUAUUGUUCUCAUUAGAAUCCAGCUUAAAGUGACCUAACUGAUUGCUAUCAUCAAGUGAAACAUGACCAAGAUCCUGACUGAGUGAGACGGGGAGAGACUCGUCAUCGUAAUCAGUGUUAGCUGUGCUAUCAGGAGUUUGUUCAUCAAAUAAGCUUGCAGAAUCUCCUCCCUCCUGAUCCUCUGGCUGUAUAGGAAGCUCAUUAUUUAGUAUUUCUCUUUCCAUUUGCUUCUCGAUCAACCCAUCAGAUUCUUUCUUGCCCUCAUGCUGAUCAACCUCUGACUUUAUAGGAUCAUUAUUCAGAAUUUCUCUUUCCAUUUGCUUCUCGAUCAACCCAUCAGAUUCUUUCUUGCCCUCAUGCUGAUCAACCUCUGACUUUAUAGGAUCAUUAUUCAGAAUUUCUCUUUCCAUUUGCUUCUCGAUCAACCCAUCAGAUUCUUUCUUGCCCUCAUGCUGAUCAACCUCUGACUUUAUAGGAUCAUUAUUCAGA
Molecule: unclassified non-coding RNA, 1903 nt
Filed under: Hevea brasiliensis (rubber tree)
Lineage: Eukaryota; Viridiplantae; Streptophyta; Magnoliopsida; Malpighiales; Euphorbiaceae
Source: RNAcentral